AAUAGAUACCCAGGUAGUCCACGCCGUAAACGAUGAGUGCUAAGUGUUAGAGGGUUUCCGCCCUUUAGUGCUGCAGCUAACGCAUUAAGCACUCCGCCUGGGGAGUACGGUCGCAAGACUGAAACUCAAAGGAAUUGACGGGGGCCCGCACAAGCGGUGGAGCAUGUGGUUUAAUUCGAAGCAACGCGAAGAACCUUACCAGGUCUUGACAUCCUCUGACAACUCUAGAGAUAGAGUGUUCCCCUUCGGGGACAGAGUGACAGGUGGUGCAUGGUUGUCGUCAGCUCGUGUCGUGAGAUGUUGGGUUAAGUCCCGCAACGAGCGCAACCCUUGAUCUUAGUUGCCAGCAUUUAGUUGGGCACUCUAAGGUGACUGCCGGUGACAAACCGGAAGAAGGUGGGGAUGACGUCAAAUCAUCAUGCCCCUUAUGACCUGGGCUACACACGUGCUACAAUGGAUGGUACGAAAGGGCUGCAAGACCGCGAGGUCAAGCCAAUCCCAUAAAACCAUUCUCAGUUCGGAUUGUAGG
RNAcentral lists this ribosomal RNA (529 nucleotides) under uncultured bacterium. Its description in RNAcentral is "bacterial SSU rRNA". It matches the Rfam family "Bacterial small subunit ribosomal RNA", at positions 777 to 1304 of the family's 1533-position model. The record is from RNAcentral.